Octopus sinensis (East Asian common octopus) is the source of this 1302-nucleotide long non-coding RNA. RefSeq lists it as uncharacterized. The record is from RefSeq and is a predicted model, not a curated record. The transcript is spliced from 2 exons. NCBI's taxonomy places the organism in Eukaryota, Metazoa, Mollusca, Cephalopoda, Octopoda, Octopodidae.
UUCUCUCUUUCUCUGUCUUUCAGGCUCUCUCUCCUCCCCAUCUAUUUUCCUCUACUUCCCAUUUCUCCAUUUUUCUCUUUCUCUCUCUCUCAUUCUGUUUCUUUAUUUCAUACAAAGGUGUGCGCGCGCGAUGAAAGAGUUUGUUCCCCUGAUCGUUUAUUGUCGAUAAUCUCCAAACAUUAUUUAGAAUAAAUGCACUUAUCAAUUCAGAUGUCAGGUGAACUUGUUUAGGAAUUAAUAAUAAUUGUCAACACAAAGACAUUGAUAAUGUCUGCUUUAUGAUUUUUUUUUUUGUGGGUAAAGAAAUUCAAAAUCGUGAUAUUUUGUGUAUGGGUGACGCUGAGUUUGCUUUCGUAGACUUUAAAUCUGACAGUAAAAAGACAUCUAUCAAUAUUUUACAUUUGGAUUAUUUGAUUUGUUAUCAUGUGAAAUGGGCCUGAAGACUUUACAAUUCAGAUGCAUCGAUAUGUUCAUCAAUUUUUGAAGAUAACAAGAAGACUUUAUGAAGAACAUAUGUUUGCAGAAAUCCUGGGUUUAAUUCAUCAAGAUCAUUAUCCUCAGCAUUUUAAUACAUAUUUUAUGAAGCAAACACAGAUUUGUUGGAAUACAGCAAAUCACUAGUUAUGUUGGGGUUUUUUUUAUCACCGCUUCUUAGAAACACUUCAUUGUGAAAUCUGAUCUUCCACAUUUAUUUUCAAACACCUUUGUAAAUCUACCUUUUUCCCCAAAUACCUUCUAUUGACAGUAUAUAGUAAUUUUUUUUAUCAAGUAUUCAUCUUUCAUUUACAAAUACUGUGAAAGAUUUCCUUUCAACUGAAACUAACCUCAGUAUAAAUAUUAAUUACCUCGAAAUGUGUGCUGGAUUGAAUAAUUCACUAUGAGUAUUUGAAUGAACAAGAAUGUAUGGAUCUGUGUUGACAAGUAGAGAUAUUUUAGCUAUUAUUGGGGUUUUUUUCCUAAUUUACUAGCUUUUUAUUAUAAGAUUGAGUUCUAUUCUAAUUAAUCCUCUUGAAACAAUUACUUCAGAAGUGAUUAUAUUGUUAUUUAUAAUUUUGUUAUCAAUUGUUUGAAACAUCUUCAAAAUAUGUCAAAGACAACAGUGUUGUGGUGGAAAAAUAUAGUGAGAGAAAUAUAUUCUAAAUCACAUUAAAAAAAGCAGGAAAAAUAAUUUUGUGCUGUAUGAUGGAAGUAGAAGGUUUUGAAGAGGAAAUUGUUUAAGUCUCAGAAGAAAUAUAGAAAGAAAAUAUUGAUGUUUGUGUUCAGACACUGAAAAUAACUGAAUAAAUCAUAUCUUUGUAUCAA